GGAUGUGUUCAAAACAAAAAACCCUUCAGUCGUGCUCGAUACAUGUUUGCAAUUCAUUAACUGAUAUAGAGAACUGAGGCUCGACUGAGUUGGAAAGUCGAUUGUGCGACUUGAAAGAUGGUCGCCGGAUGGAAGGCUAGAACGGCGUCUCCGGUUGCAGUUUAACAGACAAGUAAAUGUUGCAAAAACCAGAUUUGACGGCUAUCCUUGGGAAUAUUGCUACAAAUCCAGUUGGUCCAUACGCUGUCAUCCAGAAAGGAAGUGUCUUGGUGGAAGGGACAGGGGUACCAACACUGCAGAAGAACAAAGGCAAACCAAAUUCUAAAUCCAGCAAAUCUAAUAGGACUCAGGUAUGCCACGAUCCAAAAGGUUCAUGGAUAAUAGUCGGCCAAUAUCUCAACAACUAUCCUCUUCAUCAACACACGAGCAAUCGUUGAAUGAUGCAAAUCAAGAACAAAUUCAGCAUAAUGAAACACCAUUGAUUUCAUUUAACUAUUUAGAGUCGAGCCUUGAAAUUUAUACUAUGAAAUGUAGGUACCCGAUGAAGGAAGCAAGCAACAAUCUUCACAAGGGAGUGGAAAAGCAAAAUUCAUCCGCUAGUCAUCAUGUUAAUGGACAAUCUUCUACAUGAUAUGCAACUGUUCUGCAGUUUCUGGGCAAUGUAGGACUGCAGAUUGGUCAUUGGUUGUUGUUAAGGCAACUCUCUUCAUUGUGACUUACCUUGUCUGCAACUGCUUAUACACUCCCUAUAGUCAUCACUUACAAAAAUGGCAAAAGACAGAGAUGUCCAGUUGACUGUGAAGGUUGCAGAGGGACUCACAGUUGAUAAGAUACUUGAAAACUGGAUGAAGAUAAAACCUGUAAUAGUGGAAGAAUGGAAUGAAAACAGAGAUGCUUUAAUUGAUCUUUUUGGUAAAGUCAGGAAUGAGUGGAUGGACAAUGAUUUGUCUACUUGGAUUGGUGCAAACAUGCAAGUCUUCUUUGCAGUGCCUAAGUAGAUGACAUCGAACUGCAUAGCUCAAAUUGCAUCAAGAAAUGCCAGAACACAUCAAGAAAUGCCAGAACACUAGGGAAGGUGAUAGGGACAAAUUUAGCUCCCAAGUGAUCUUAUGUUAUUUUGACUAUUUGUACAAAUUUAAUGUUGUUGCUCUUUUUUUCUCAGAACUAUUGGCUUCUUUUUAUUUUUUUGAGAACACUAGUUAUUUGUUACAAUUAUUUGACAAAGAUUAGUUAUAA
Molecule: long non-coding RNA, 1236 nt
Organism: Ipomoea nil (Japanese morning glory)
Lineage: Eukaryota; Viridiplantae; Streptophyta; Magnoliopsida; Solanales; Convolvulaceae
Exons: 6
Source: RefSeq, a predicted model, not a curated record